AGCUGCCCUCCUCUGGGCCUUCUCGGACUCACUUCUCCAGCCUCCCCUCCCCUCUCCAGCUUCCUUUUCUGGGUCUCCCCCCACUGGACUAUAAGCUUCUUUCCAGCAGGAACUGCCUUUUCUUUUCGAAUCUGCAUUCAAGGCACUUGGCCCAGCAUCUGGCACAUAGUAGGUGCUUGGUUCUGUUCUGGGUGUGGGGGGAUGCCGAGGUGAUAAACAGCACGGCUCUGGCCUGAGGGACAUCCUGUACCACUGGAGGGUUCUGUGGUCUGAGUCAAACUAGAUUUCAAUGAAUGAUGACUGGGGAAGAUGAAGAGCCCAUCCCGCCUCCGACAUUCCCUGGCUGUGGGACUCCUUGGCAAGCCUGUGAUCUCUCUGCUAGGCUUCCUCCUUUAUUAAAUAAGAGUAUUGGAUUGGGCAAUGCCCAAGACCGUCUAAAUCUUUGAUCGAUCUAUCGAUGUUACGAUGAGUUCCCCUACCUCUACCCUAGCACUGGGGAUAGUUAGUCUAAACACCCUCAUGGAGGCAGGCAAAAAUUGAAGAACAAGGGACACAAUCAGGGUCCACACUAGCUCUCUAUCAAGGAAGAAGAAAACCUCUGAAUCAAUCUAUUGGCAAGCAUUGAUUAAUCAAGUACCAACCACUGGGCUCCUUCGACCUCCAAAACAGAAUAAUUUACACACACACACACACACACACACACACACACAUACCAGCCCCAAGUCUUAGAAGAUUACUCUGACCUCAUACCCCUUGGCUCCUCAGAGGGGCUGCCCCGGGGGGAUGUUCUCUGAGGCUCCACAUCCCCAUAAUUCCACAUCCCAUAAUUCCAGCAUCCCUAAACCCUAUAUCUGCAGGAAUUUGGCAGAGCCCAGCCUGGAAAUGGCCAUCGGCUCCAACUACCCUGAGCUCCCCUUUCCCUGAUUCCUCUGGCCCUGGGCAUCUCCUGCCCUGGCCUGUUCUGAUUGAGCUUUGAGUCUCCUCCUCCUCCCCCAGAGAUAGAUCUGGGCACCCAAGGGUACUUACCAUGUUGAAUGAAGGGGUGGAAAUCGAGGCAGAGUAGAAGGAGAGAAUCCUGUGGUGAAGACAGGAGCAGGUGCCCUAGAUUUUAGCUCGGAAUCUAGGUUAUUAAUCAGGUUCUAUCUCCUCCCUGUGCCUCAAUUUCCCCACCUGUGACUGGAUUGGACUAAUUAACCUCUCACCUGUGUAGGAUUCCUCAAGGCCUGGGGAAGAAAUGAGGGUGGGGGAGGGGGUAGGAGAGAGGUCAGGAAACAGAAAGUCUUAGGGUUGUCCUUGGAGAGGUGGGAGACCCCGGCCUGAGGGUGCUAUGAGAUCUGCACCCCUCCCUCCCACACACCCCGUUCCCACCCUUCUGGCUGGGUUGUCUGCCUCAGCUCUCAGGACAGCCGGCUUUAGCAUUCCCUCCACGCCUGGGGAAAACAUCCUGAUUCAGGGCUGCAGUAAGAGGGGCUGAAUCAGACUCUAUUCUGUGGAAGAAGGGCCCUUUUGAGCUCUGGGAGUUGGGGGUGGGGGGGAGGAAGCCUGGAGCCGGUACUAAGCGAGGCCUUUGUUCCACCUCCCUCCUUCUCGAUCUCUCCCUGGGACAUGAUGUCCUGCGCACCCUGACCCCCAGCCUUCCCUGCUGCAGCAAGUUGGGGAGGUGGCUCACACCUUCCCUCCCCGCCUUGCCUCUCUGAGUGAUGGAGCCCAGAGGACCUGGGUCCAAACCCAGCUCUGCUGAUUCCUACCUGUGUGACCUCAUCUCUCUGGAUUUAUCUGUGAAAUGAGGCUCUAGGACAAAUCCAUAACUGCUUCCAGGCUCAUUUCCCCCUUCUAAGACAAGGUCCCUGCCCUCAGUACUUCUCCUUCUGUCUGGGAAGGAAAGCUAAAACGCAGCCAGGAGUAACUCUGGAAUAGAAUAGAACCAUGGAGCCACAGAGAUACACAGAGGUAGAACUCUGGAGUUUUUAACUCAUGGUACAUUGUCAUUGAGGCAGAAGGUCCAGCACAGCAGCGGGCCAGCGGGAAGGAGCCCUGGGCCAGGGGAGAGGGACCUCUGGGAGCACCUCCCUCCAUGGUAGAUGCAAGUAAAGCCAGCCAUUUGUACAUCUACACCAGCUGUGUCACCCAGAUCAAAGAGGGCAGUGGAAGGAUGCCAGACUCACAGGAGUAUCAGCCUUUCUGCCAAGCUGCCUGCAGGGAUCAGCCUUCUGAGCUGGUUCCCCUGAUUCUUCUCUGGGGGCUCAAAUUGACAGUAAUUAAAUGGAAAAAUCAUUGUGUUGAUAGUCAAAGGAUCUGGGUUCAAGUUCCAACUCUUCUCACAUGACCUUGGUCAAGCUACAACAUUUUUCUGUGUGUAAAAUGAAUAUAGAAGUGUUCCAAAUCCCUCCCAGCUCUAACCUAUGCUCCUUGGGAACUUGAGAUACAGGGGUCCUGAAUGAAAUCUUUGUUGGGUCUAUGAUUAUCUUGUAAACUCAUCUGUGUUCCCUUGGGCGUGCCUCUGCCAACACCAUGGGAUCUGGACAUCAGAGCAUCCCAAUCAUGGACAAUGAACGCCCUCCAAUUAUUUGAGUCAUUCUUUAUUUCUUUGAAGUGUAUAAGUCUCAAUGAUGUUUUCAAAGAUGAUUCACAGAUUUUCCCCCUAAGGCAAUUGGGGGACUUACCCAGGGUCACACUAGCUAGGAAGUAUUAAGUGCCUAAAGCCAGAUUUGACCUCAGAUUCUCCUGUCUUUGGGGGUUCCAUCUCACAGAUUUUUUAAAAUGUAUUUUGUAGGUAUUUGUUAUAAAAAAAGAAAUGGGAUUUUUUUCCUAUCAUUUCCUCCUGAAUUUUAAAAACUGAUGCAGAAAUGAUGCCUUUAAAAAAUAGUUUGCAUCUUGUUACUUUACUGAUUCUGUUAAUUGUGUCAAUUUCUUUGCUGAUUCUUUG
Molecule: long non-coding RNA, 2926 nt
Filed under: Sarcophilus harrisii (Tasmanian devil)
Lineage: Eukaryota; Metazoa; Chordata; Mammalia; Dasyuromorphia; Dasyuridae
Description: lncRNA (ENSSHAG00000023620.1)
Source: RNAcentral